RNAcentral lists this ribosomal RNA (2078 nucleotides) under human gut metagenome. RNAcentral's name for it is "bacterial LSU rRNA". It matches the Rfam family "Bacterial large subunit ribosomal RNA", at positions 630 to 2708 of the family's 2925-position model. The record is from RNAcentral.
ACAUUCUGUGGCGAGCUUAACCGAAUAGGGGAGGCGCAGCGAAAGCGAGUUCGAAAUGAGCGUCCAGUCGCAGGGUGUAGACCCGAAACCAGAUGAGCUAUCCAUGGCCAGGUUGAAGGUGUGGUAACACACACUGGAGGACCGAACCGACUAGUGUUGCAAAAUUAGCGGAUGAGCUGUGGAUAGGGGUGAAAGGCCAAACAAAUCUGGAGAUAGCUGGUUCUCCCCGAAAACUAUUGAGGUAGUGCCUCGUGUGUCGCUCCAGGGGGUAGAGCACUGUUUUGGCUAGGGGGACAUGGAGUCUUACCAAACCAAGGCAAACUCCGAAUACCUGGAAGCGUAAGCACGGGAGACAGAGCACCGGGUGCUAACGUCCGGACUCAAAAGGGAAACAACCCAGACCGCCGGCUAAGGUCCCAAAUAACAGCUAAGUGGAAAACGAAGUGGAAAGGCCGUGACAACCAGGAAGUUGGCUUAGAAGCAGCCAUCCUUCAAAGAAAGCGUAAUAGCUCACUGGUCGAGUCCUUCUGCGCGGAAGAUGUAACGGGGCUAAGCUGUUAACCGAAGCCGCGGAUGCGCUGGUUAUCCAGUGCGUGGUAGGGGAGCGUUCUGUAAGUCUGCGAAGGCGGUUCGAGAGGACUGCUGGAGAUAUCAGAAGUGCGAAUGCUGACAUGAGUAACGUUAAAGCAGGUGAAAAGCCUGCUCGCCGUAAGCCCAAGGAUUCCUGCUCUACGUUCAUCGGAGCAGGGUGAGUCGGCUCCUAAGGUCAGGCCGAAAGGCGUAGCCGAUGGGAAUCAGGUUAAUAUUCCUGAACCUGCGUCAGAUGCGAUGGGGGGACGGAGCAUGAAAGAUCAUCCGGGUGUUGGAUGUCCCGGUUGACGAGCGUAGGAGGUCUGCAGGCAAAUCCGCAGACGCAUCUCCAAGGCGAAGUCACGUGCCGCCACGGCGGCGAAGUGAUCGGAAGUGCUUCCAAGAAAAGCCUCUAAGCACCAGUCUGACGCGGACCGUACCGCAAACCGACACUGGUGGGCGAGCUGAAUAUGCUCAGGCGCUUGAGAGAACUCGGGAGAAGGAACUCGGCAAAUUGACCCCGUAACUUCGGAAGAAGGUGUGCCGUAGUACCGUGAGAGGAGAGACACCUUGAGCGGGAAUCGGUCUCAGAGAAUAGGUGGCUGCGACUGUUUAUUAAAAACACAGCACUCUGCAAAGUCGAAAGACGACGUAUAGGGUGUGAUGCCUGCCCGGUGCUGGAAGAUUAAUUGAUGGGGUGAGAGCCCUUGAUCGAAGUCCCAGUAAACGGCGGCCGUAACUAUAACGGUCCUAAGGUAGCGAAAUUCCUUGUCGGGUAAGUUCCGACCUGCACGAAUGGCAUAACGAUGGCCACACUGUCUCCUCCCGAGACUCAGUGAAGUUGAAAUGUUUGUGAUGAUGCAAUCUACCCGCGGCUAGACGGGAAGACCCCAUGAACCUUUACUGCAGCUUUGCAUUGAACUGUGAACCGAUUUGUGUAGGAUAGGUGGGAGGCAGAGAAGAGGCCACGCCAGUGGCCUUGGAGCCGACCUUGAAAUACCACCCUGAUUUGUUUGCGGUUCUAACCACGGACAGUGAUCCUGUCUUGGGACCGUGCAUGGUAGGCAGUUUGACUGGGGCGGUCUCCUCCUAAAGGGUAACGGAGGAGUACGAAGGUACGCUAGGUACGGUCGGAAAUCGUGCUGAUAGUGCAAUGGCAAAAGCGUGCUUGACUGCGAGAGCAACAACUCGAGCAGAUGCGAAAGCAGGUCAUAGUGAUCCGGUGGCUCUGAAUGGAAGGGCCAUCGCUCAACGGAUAAAAGGUACUCUGGGGAUAACAGGCUGAUACCGCCCAAGAGUUCAUAUCGACGGCGGUGUUUGGCACCUCGAUGUCGGCUCAUCUCAUCCUGGGGCUGUAGUCGGUCCCAAGGGUAUGGCUGUUCGCCAUUUAAAGAGGUACGUGAGCUGGGUUUAAAACGUCGUGAGACAGUUUGGUCCCUAUCUGCCGUGGGCGUUGGAAGAUUGACGGGGGCUGCUCCUAGUACGAGAGGACCGGAGUGGACGCACCU